AAAACAAACAAUUUGAAAACGAGUUUGGAAUUAAUUUCAUUUAUUUUUGUUUACAGAGGAGAUGACAAAAGCUCAUGUGAGCUAUAUGUACAGGACCUACAGAACAUAUAAGUCUACUGAGAAGCUCACAAACAACAUAGGAACCCAAUCCUUCAGGAGCUUUCUUCCUCAGACGCUUUGGUUGUGGUCAAAUUCCCUGAGAGGGAAGAACAUUCAAAACAAAUCGAUUGAUGAUGCUGCAGUUUGUCCAGGAGAGAUGCAAUUAUCCGGAACCACGGGCGAUUCCAACACGGCAUUCAAGAACUUCCUGCAUAGAAGUGUUUUCUUUGAGUGAAGUGAACUUUGAGUGCUUCAUUACCUUCAGCAGAACCUUUUCUUGGACUCAGUCUUACGAGAUAGGGCUGCUGUGGACUCCAAUCCGGAGGAAAAACGCAUCAUUGAACGUCUCGUCAUAUCGUCAAAGAAAAAAACAAAUACUGACAACCCAUUCACAAUUCUUCCUAUAUGCUUCCUAUUUUGAGCGGACACGUCAUAGGACAUUCUCAACAAGUGUCACGUGCUUCAUCGUGACACCUCCAUUGACCUUCGUAAAUUAUGUAUUUAUGAACAAUCUUGUGAAAAUGUUAAAAUAUGCAAAAAAAAAAACUACAAAAUGGCCAACAAAUAAACAAAAAAAUGUUACAA
This is a long non-coding RNA of Lutzomyia longipalpis, 684 nucleotides long. RefSeq lists it as uncharacterized. The record is from RefSeq and is a predicted model, not a curated record. The transcript is spliced from 2 exons. NCBI's taxonomy places the organism in Eukaryota, Metazoa, Arthropoda, Insecta, Diptera, Psychodidae.